Molecule: long non-coding RNA, 683 nt
Filed under: Mytilus galloprovincialis (Mediterranean mussel)
Lineage: Eukaryota; Metazoa; Mollusca; Bivalvia; Mytilida; Mytilidae
Source: RNAcentral
AAAUUUACUCAACCUGUACAUGGUUUAAAAAACUUGAUUAAAUCUAACAAACUAACAGAUAUAUGGAGAAACUUAAAUGAAAAUAAACAGCAAUUCACCUGGAGAAGAAGAGAUAAGUCACAAGCUAGUAGGAUUGACAUGAUUUUUAUUGGGUCAGAUUUUUUACCACUGGUAGAAUUUUGUAAAAUCAAACCAGCUGUUAUUCGGUCUACUGACCACCAAAGCGUAUUUCUAAAAUUUAAGCCAGGGGUAUCAGAAAGGGGCAAUGGGUAUUGGAAAAUUAACAAUUCAGUAUUGCAAGAUAAAGCUUACCAAGAACUGAUUUAUACUUUGAUAGAUAAAUAUAAUUUCGAAAAGGAAACAUUAGAUUGUAGAUUAUUAUGGGAUGGGUUUAAAAUCGCGGUAAGGGAAGUAACCACAAAUUAUUGUAAAAAUAAAGCAAAGUUAACAAAGGGACGAAGAUAUACUCUGGAAAAAGAAUUAGAAGAAAAAAUAAAAUUAAGAGACGAGACAAAUAUAGAUGACGAUGAAAUAGAAAAGAAAUUAAUGGUAUUGAAGAAGAGCUAAAUAAGAUAUAUGAUGAAAAAGCGAAGGGAGCUCAAGUGAGAUCUAGAGAAAAAUGGGUAGAGUUUGGUGAAAAAAAUAAUUCUUACUUCCUUGGGUUAGAAAAAAAAAAAGACAAG